Molecule: long non-coding RNA, 1920 nt
Organism: Aethalodelphis obliquidens (Pacific white-sided dolphin)
Lineage: Eukaryota; Metazoa; Chordata; Mammalia; Artiodactyla; Delphinidae
Exons: 3
Source: RefSeq, a predicted model, not a curated record
GGCCUGGCUCUUCUGUUCUCAGGGAGAUCAGGAGUUUGAAUUUUAUUCUGAUCGUGAUGGGGAAUCACUGGAGGGUUUUACGCAGGGACAAGGCUUGAUCUUACUUACACUUUUAAUAGAUUAUCCUGCUGUGUGGAGGACGGAUUGUAGGAGAGCAGAGUAGAAGCAGGAAGACCAGUUGGAUCGGACCAAGGGCGGCUGAGGAGUGCUACUGGCCACGCCUGUUUCUUGGCUUGAGAACCUGUCUCUGGAGAAUCGUCGUUCAGAGACCCUGGCGCUCUGGGAAGUGGGGAGGUGAGGGCCAACGCUGGCCUUGAAAUUCCACACACCCAGCUCCAGCCCCUUUUGUAGCCCGAGACACCCAACUACUCAUCCUCCCAACCACUUCCUUGCUCUGCUGUUUCAGAAAGUGAGAAUAAGUGGUUUACCUUGUACAUGUGGUGCCCUAGAAGGUGAGAAGACAGCAGCCCGGCUCUGUGUCCCUGGGUAGGGGUCUCCUGUGUUGUCCAUGGGCGAAGCCCAGACACCAGGUGCCUAAAAGGCUGAUGCGAAAGUAACCAAGAAGUAGGAAUGGCACGUGGCGUCCAGGAGGCUUGAUCUUUAUGUGGUUUCCAGCCCAGAUGAGGGAGAUCAGUGGAGUGUGGCCUGAAGGGGAGCACAGGAUCUGCCUGCCCUGCCCGGAGGCCCAGAGCUUAGGGAGGGGCGUGGCUUUUUUCCACCUGUCCUUCCCGGAGCUGGAUAAGAACUCAGGGCCGUCCCCAGGCCCUGGUGUUCCUUCCUCAUUGUCCUCAGGUUCCUUAGCUGAAAAAACUCAAGUCCAGGCGACUGAUCAGGCCAGAAGUUGAGGGCCUAAGCCAGCAGUGGGCACAGGAUUGGUGCACACUCUUCAUGUACUCCAUUGGUGCUGGGCCCACUCUGCCCUGGCCUCCAGGCUUGAGACCCCCUACUCCCACCCACCCCUGCCAGGCACCGCCCCACCUUAAAACCCCUGAAAGGAGCAGCAGCCACUGGGGACACUGGAGACAUGGGCAUGCUCUGCGGGGGCUGACACCUGAAGCAGGGUCCCUUGGCCACAAGUUCCGGGGCUCUCUAUUGGUCCUUGCUGGCCCUGGGUUUGGGGCCCAGCCAAGUGGCUGAGCAGUGAGUGAGUCAUGACUGGCAGCUGCAGGGGUCCCUGAAGGCAUGAGCCCCAACAUGUCGGCCUGUGUCAUCUGAGCUGUCAAGAAGGAUGAGGGGACAGGCCCAGGCACUGUUUGCAGACUCGGCCACCAGCUUGCUGAGUAGAACCCCAGCACUUGGGGACAGGCGUCCAGAGCUGAAGGAACUGUUGAGCGAGGAGCUUCACAUCUCUGCGGGUUCCUUCAACAACAUUGAAGUGUCGAGUCUCCAGAAAUUCCUCUCCUAGGUAUGUACCCAACAGACAUGUACUAGAAUGUUCAUAGCUGCACUAGUUGGCACAGCCCCAAACUGGAAAGCUCACACACCCAUUAUCAGUAGCACGAUUGUAGUUACACAGUGCAAUACUCUGCAGCGGUGAGAAUGAGGGGUCUACAAUUGUAUGCAAUGAUAGAGAUGGAUCUUACAAAGACACAACGACUGAAAGAAGCCAGGGACGAAAGAGCACAUCCUAUUUGCUUCCAUCUGUAUAAAGUACAAGAACAGGUGAGCCUAGUUCCUGCCAUUACAGGUCAGGAGGAGGCAGAGAGGGCUUCUGGGAUGCUUGGUGAUGUUGUUUAUCAAUCUGAGGUCGGUUGCGUGGGUUCCUGAUUGUGAAAGUGCAUCCAGCUGUACGUUUGUGACACGUGCACUUUUCUGGAGGUAUAUUGCAUUUCAAUAAAAAGUUUUUUAAAAAGCUGGAGUAUUUUCUCCAUUAAAACCACAGCCACACUCGGUGCUUUGUGACCGCCUGGAGGGGUGGGA